This 117-nucleotide non-coding RNA is filed under the name Pan troglodytes (chimpanzee). Lineage: Eukaryota; Metazoa; Chordata; Mammalia; Primates; Hominidae. The record is from Rfam by way of RNAcentral.
GCUGGGUGUGUUGGCUCACACCUGUAAUCCCAGAACUUUGGGAGGCUGAGGCAGGUGGAUCACCUGAGGUCAGGAGUUUGAGACCAGCCUGACCAACAUGGUGAAACUCUGUCUCUA